This 69-nucleotide transfer RNA is filed under the name Megalamphodus megalopterus (black phantom tetra). Its description in RNAcentral is "Hyphessobrycon megalopterus (black phantom tetra) tRNA-Arg". It matches the Rfam family "tRNA". From Rfam's summary of the family: Transfer RNA (tRNA) molecules are approximately 80 nucleotides in length. The record is from RNAcentral. Lineage: Eukaryota; Metazoa; Chordata; Actinopteri; Characiformes; Acestrorhamphidae.
AAGGAGCUAGUCCAAUAAAGACCUCUGAUUUCGGCUCAGAAAAUUAUGGUUAAACUCCAUAGCUCCUCU